RNAcentral lists this ribosomal RNA (253 nucleotides) under uncultured bacterium. RNAcentral describes it as "partial 16S ribosomal RNA". It matches the Rfam family "Bacterial small subunit ribosomal RNA", at positions 524 to 776 of the family's 1533-position model. The record is from RNAcentral.
GACAGAGGGUGCAAACGUUGUUCGGAAUUACUGGGCGUAAAGCGCGUGUAGGCUGCUCAGAAAGUCGGAUGUGAAAGCCCUGGGCUUAACCUAGGAAGUGCAUUCGAAACUUCUGAGCUUGAGUUCUGGAGAGGAAGGCGGAAUUCUCGGUGUAGAGGUGAAAUUCGUAGAUAUCGAGAGGAGCACCGGUGGCGAAGGCGGCCUUCUGGACAGUGACUGACGCUGAGACGCGAAAGCGUGGGGAGCAAACAGG